UCCAUCGAAGGGCAGGCCAAAAGCGGCCC
This 29-nucleotide small RNA is filed under the name Bombyx mori (domestic silkworm). RNAcentral's name for it is "ovarian small RNA-26956". The record is from RNAcentral. Lineage: Eukaryota; Metazoa; Arthropoda; Insecta; Lepidoptera; Bombycidae.